AUACGGAGGGGGCUAGCGUUGUUCGGAAUUACUGGGCGUAAAGCGCACGUAGGCGGCUUUGUAAGUCAGAGGUGAAAGCCUGGAGCUCAACUCCAGAACUGCCUUUGAGACUGCAUCGCUUGAAUCCAGGAGAGGUCAGUGGAAUUCCGAGUGUAGAGGUGAAAUUCGUAGAUAUUCGGAAGAACACCAGUGGCGAAGGCGGCUGACUGGACUGGUAUUGACGCUGAGGUGCGAAAGCGUGGGGAGCAAACAGCAUUAGAUACCCCAGUAGUCC
This 274-nucleotide ribosomal RNA is filed under the name uncultured bacterium. RNAcentral describes it as "partial 16S ribosomal RNA". It matches the Rfam family "Bacterial small subunit ribosomal RNA", at positions 523 to 796 of the family's 1533-position model. The record is from RNAcentral.